CGGAGGAUGCAAGCGUUAUCCGGAUUUAUUGGGUUUAAAGGGUGCGUAGGCGGAUGAAUAAGUCAGUGGUGAAAGCCUGCAGCUUAACUGUAGAAUUGCCAUUGAUACUGUUUAUCUUGAGUACAGCUGAGGUGGGCGGAAUACGACAUGUAGCGGUGAAAUGCUUAGAUAUGUCAUAGAACACCGAUUGCGAAGGCAGCUCACUAAACUGUCACUGACGCUGAGGCACGAAAGCGUGGGGAGCAAACAGGAUUAGAUACCCUGGUAGUCCACGCCCUAAACUAUGAUCACUCGAUGUUGGCGAUACACUGUCAGCGUCUAAGGGAAACUAUUAAGUGAUCCACCUGGGGAGUACGGUCGCAAGACUG
Molecule: ribosomal RNA, 368 nt
Filed under: uncultured organism
Description: bacterial SSU rRNA
Rfam family: Bacterial small subunit ribosomal RNA
Source: RNAcentral